Peromyscus eremicus (cactus mouse) is the source of this 751-nucleotide long non-coding RNA. RefSeq lists it as uncharacterized. The record is from RefSeq and is a predicted model, not a curated record. NCBI's taxonomy places the organism in Eukaryota, Metazoa, Chordata, Mammalia, Rodentia, Cricetidae. The transcript has 3 exons.
UACUAGUCCACAUUGGGCACAGCCUACAGUAGCAGUUGGUUGCCUACAGAGCAGAUGGGUGAUAACAUUGGUUCUGAUAGAAUGGAAUCUCCAAUCUACUGGUUCUCAAAACACUGAGUUUGAUUUUCAGUUUGUUGGUUUUGUUUCCUGGUGUUCAGGGGGGUUACUACUUCAAAUGGCCUAGCUGAAGGAUAGCCCUGGUAAGAAGUGACAUCACAAUAGGAGACAUAAUUCCAGGCUUCUGUGUCCCUGCAACCCGGGGAAACAGGGUCCUUCAUCCAUCCUCCAGCUAUUGGGUCUGAGCUGCCAGCCUGCUUGCUCCACUCCUUCAGCUUACUCCAGCCCCAACACUGCUUGUUGGACAGAGAAGUGAUCAUAAAGACAUCUCCCCAGUGAAGAUCUACCUCCCAGUUUUUGUUGUGCUUGUAGGAACAGUACCUACAACAUCCAAAACAGCUGCCUAAGCAAACAGGAAUGAUUUAUAUACUAACCUUAGGUUGCUCAUCAUCUUAGUCACUUUAUCCCCUCUGACUUAUUUUGUGAAGAGCUACAAGAACUAUGGUUUCCAGAUCUGUGAAGGGAAGGUGCCAAUGGAGUCCUCACAUGUAUUCUUUCUCUCCCUGCAUAAUUCUUGCUGUGGGUCUAUGCACUAACUCCCAUCUAAGGUACUCUGGAGGCUAUGGAAAGAGAAACCUAACACCACUGUGAAUCCGCAAGUAGAUGGCAUUGUUAUAGUUUUAUAUGCUAAAAG